UUUGGGAGACGAGUGGUAGACUCAGGGCAUGUUCAUUAUGUGAAACUACAUAUUGGUUUAUUUAUUUCAGCUAUACUUUGUAGCGUCAUAUUUGUAUCGUGUAUUUUUUAUCUGCGCGUGUCGGUUUUAAACUGCCUGCUGUGCCAGUGCACACUUCGUAGUGCUCUAAAGUAUUCUGCCUAACAAGAUUCUGUUAGAUCUUUAAAAAUUCAGCUGUAACUUACAUGAAACUCUUGUAAAUAAACGAACGCCAUUUGGAACUUGGUUAGUUGUAUAUUCACAGAUCUAUGGCUAAACAUCUCUUACUGGUUUCAGACUACUCAAAACACGUCUUUGCCCUGUCCGCAGAGCAUCCUGGGAUAUGUAGUUUUCUGCCAUGUAAAUGAUUGCCGUUCCUAAUGUUUGUAUUUUAGUUCUUAUAUUAUUUUGGAGGAGGACACAGCCACUUGCAGAAGAACAACUGAUUAAAUCUACAUCAAAGAAAAUGAAGGGUGAAUAACAGAUUCAAGACAACACCAAGAAAAAGAAGAGGAAGAGGAAGAAAACGGAAAGAAUGUUUCAUCACACAGGAGAGAUCAGAGGGAACGGGCGAUAAGGAGUCCAACAAAAACAAGAAGAGAAGAAAGAAGAAGAAAACUAUCACAGAUGUGCUGACGAGCUCUGAGCCUGUGCGGGGCUCCCCAGCUGACCUUCUGAGCCUUUUGAAGAGUCACCACAGCCAGACCCGCUCUGUUAUUGAGCAGGGUGACCCGACGCUAAGCGUCAGCUGAUGGUGUUCAAAGACAAGCUAAAGUGCUGAAGCUGUUCGCAAAACACAUCAAGGUUGAUGAACAGAUAAAGUCAUUGAGUAAAGG
Molecule: long non-coding RNA, 854 nt
Organism: Sinocyclocheilus anshuiensis
Lineage: Eukaryota; Metazoa; Chordata; Actinopteri; Cypriniformes; Cyprinidae
Exons: 4
Source: RefSeq, a predicted model, not a curated record